This 468-nucleotide ribosomal RNA is filed under the name uncultured bacterium. RNAcentral describes it as "partial 16S ribosomal RNA". It matches the Rfam family "Bacterial small subunit ribosomal RNA", at positions 28 to 507 of the family's 1533-position model. The record is from RNAcentral.
GACGAACGCUGGCGGCGUGCUUAACACAUGCAAGUCGAACGGAAAGGCCCUGCUUUUGUGGGGUGCUCGAGUGGCGAACGGGUGAGUAACACGUGAGUAACCUGCCCUUGACUUUGGGAUAACUUCAGGAAACUGGGGCUAAUACCGGAUAGUAGCUCCUGCUGCAUGGUGGGGGUUGGAAAGUUUCGGCGGUUGGGGAUGGACUCGCGGCUUAUCAGCUUGUUGGUGGGGUAGUGGCUUACCAAGGCUUUGACGGGUAGCCGGCCUGAGAGGGUGACCGGCCACAUUGGGACUGAGAUACGGCCCAGACUCCUACGGGAGGCAGCAGUGGGGAAUAUUGCACAAUGGGCGGAAGCCUGAUGCAGCAACGCCGCGUGCGGGAUGACGGCCUUCGGGUUGUAAACCGCUUUCGCCUGUGACGAAGCGUGAGUGACGGUAAUGGGUAAAGAAGCACCGGCUAACUACGUG